CCUACGGGAGUCAGCAGUAGGGAAUAUUGCUCAAUGGGGGAAACCCUGAAGCAGCAACGCCGCGUGGAGGAUGAAGGUUUUCGGAUUGUAAACUCCUUUUGUUAGAGAAGAUAAUGACGGUAUCUAACGAAUAAGCACCGGCUAACUCCGUGCCAGCAGCCGCGGUAAUACGGAGGGUGCAAGCGUUACUCGGAAUCACUGGGCGGAAAGAGCGCGUAGGCGGGAUAGCAAGUCAGAUGUGAAAUCCUAUGGCUUAACCAUAGAACUGCAUUUGACACUGUUAUUCUAGAGUAUGGGAGAGGUAGGUGGAAUUCUUGGUGUAGGGGUAAAAUCCGUAGAGAUCAAGAGGAAUACUCAUUGCGAAGGCGACCUGCUAGAACAUAACUGACGCUGAUGCGCGAAAGCGUGGGGAGCAAACAGGAUUAGAUACCCCAGUAGUC
RNAcentral lists this ribosomal RNA (440 nucleotides) under uncultured bacterium. RNAcentral describes it as "partial 16S ribosomal RNA". It matches the Rfam family "Bacterial small subunit ribosomal RNA", at positions 338 to 795 of the family's 1533-position model. The record is from RNAcentral.